This is an RNA transcript of Zalophus californianus (California sea lion), 2150 nucleotides long. It is a transcript of the gene named RNA-binding protein 4B, with no coding region annotated. The record is from RefSeq and is a predicted model, not a curated record. The transcript has 5 exons. NCBI's taxonomy places the organism in Eukaryota, Metazoa, Chordata, Mammalia, Carnivora, Otariidae.
CAGCCAUUUGUAUGCGGCCGCGGGAUUGGUCGCCCGGCUCCCGCGAGGGGGAGGGGAAGGAGGCAGCGCGCACUCGCGCGUGCGUGAGCUGGCGCGCGAGAAAGGGCCCGGUCGCGCCGAGGCUCGAGCGGCCGUCGCCAUUUUGUAGGGUUCUCUCUGACGCGGGAGCCGCCGCCACCGCCGCCGCCACCCGGAGGCUCUUGUCAGGAUGGUGAAGCUGUUCAUUGGAAACCUGCCCCGGGAGGCCACAGAGCAGGAGAUCCGCUCACUCUUUGAGCAGUAUGGGAAGGUGCUGGAAUGUGACAUCAUUAAGAACUACGGCUUUGUGCACAUAGAGGACAAGACGGCGGCUGAGGAUGCCAUACGCAACCUGCACCACUACAAGCUGCACGGGGUGAACAUCAACGUGGAAGCCAGCAAGAAUAAGAGCAAAGCCUCAACCAAGUUACAUGUGGGCAACAUCAGUCCUACUUGUACCAACCAGGAGCUUCGGGCCAAGUUUGAGGAGUAUGGUCCAGUCAUCGAAUGUGACAUCGUGAAAGAUUAUGCCUUCGUACACAUGGAGCGGGCAGAGGAUGCAGUGGAGGCCAUCAGGGGCCUUGACAACACAGAGUUUCAAGGCAAACGAAUGCACGUACAGUUGUCCACCAGCCGGCUUCGGACUGCCCCUGGGAUGGGAGACCAGAGUGGCUGCUAUCGGUGCGGGAAAGAGGGGCACUGGUCCAAAGAGUGUCCAGUAGAUCGUACAGGUCGUGUGGCGGACUUUACCGAGCAGUACAAUGAACAGUAUGGAGCGGUGCGCACGCCUUACACCAUGGGCUACGGGGAAUCCAUGUAUUACAACGAUGCAUACGGAGCGCUCGACUACUAUAAGCGUUACCGGGUCCGCUCUUACGAGGCAGUGGCGGCGGCGGCGGCGGCUUCUGCAUACAACUACGCGGAGCAGACCAUGUCCCAUCUGCCUCAAGUCCAGAGCACAGCUGUGACCAGUCACCUCAACUCCACUUCUGUUGAUCCCUACGACAGACACCUGUUGCCGAACUCAGGUGCUGCUGCCACCUCGGCUGCUAUGGCCGCGGCCGCUGCCAACACUUCCUCCUAUUACGGAAGGGACAGGAGCCCCCUGCGUCGAGCCACAGCUGUGCUCCCCACAGUUGGAGAGGGCUACGGUUAUGGGCCAGAGAGUGAGCUGUCUCAGGCUUCGGCGGCCGCGCGGAAUUCCCUGUACGACAUGGCCCGGUAUGAGCGGGAGCAGUAUGUGGACCGAGCGCGGUACUCAGCCUUUUAAAAACUGGAGGUGUGAACCUCAAAUGGACUGAAUAACCCUGAGUUGGUUGCAGUCCCAGGAGCCUGAUGUUAAUGAGGCUGCCAGGAUGAAAUACUCCAGAACUGUUGGGGAUCUGAAUUUGGGUCUCACCCUAGCAGAACUGAUUCAAGAACGUCACAACUUUUGAAGUCGGACGGGACCAGGGCCCUUGUACUCGGAGCCAAGCUGCUCUCCAGGCAUUGUGUAAGCCUCUUGUGUUGUGCUCUCUUUCAGGUAGGAUAAUUGCGGACUGAACCCUCGGGCUGCGGUCAUAUAUGAGAACUUGCUCCGCGCGGUCCCCUUUGCCGGGAUGUUUCCAUUGCUUCAUGUUUCAGUAAACAAAGGAGUUUGUGACCAACUAUGUUUUCUUUCUUAAUUUAAUUCUUCUAAGUUGACUUUUCUUUCCUCCUGAUACUAGUCUCUGUAGCCUUUCACUCUAUUCCUUAUAUUCUCAGCCUCUGAGCAGCCCUAGGUAAGGAUUAUGCUGGCAUCCCCUUUUUCCUGUACAGGGGAACCCCUCUUAUCUUGCUUUCCUUAGGAGUUGAACCCUUCUCCCUGUCUACCUGCAACAUCUCCUUUCCCUUUAAAAUGACCAUGUAGUGGCAAGCGACCUUUUACUCUUCUCUGUUAGCUCUGGACUCUAACAUUGAAGCUAAUCUUUUGAAACUGCUAGGACCAUUGGGGUUUUGGGGGUGGGGUUGUUUUGUUUGUUUGUUUUGUUUUUUUUAUGUCUGACCUGUGAUCGUGGUACAGCAUUAGCUGAAAUUUAGCCUUGUUUUACUCCACUCCUCCCAUUUUUUUUUUUUUAAUAUUUUGACAAAUAAACGUUUCUAACACUUAAGUA